AGCGAACGCUGGCGGCAGGCCUAACACAUGCAAGUUGAACGGAUCCUUCGGGAUUAGUGGCGGACGGGUGAGUAACACGUGGGAACGUGCCCUUUGGUUCGGAACAACUCAGGGAAACUUGAGCUAAUACCGGAUGUGCCCUUCGGGGGAAAGAUUUAUCGCCAUUGGAGCGGCCCGCGUCUGAUUAGCUAGUUGGUGAGGUAACGGCCCACCAAGGCGACGAUCAGUAGCUGGUCUGAGAGGAUGAUCAGCCACACUGGGACUGAGACACGGCCCAGACUCCUACGGGAGGCAGCAGUGGGGAAUCUUGCGCAAUGGGCGAAAGCCUGACGCAGCCAUGCCGCGUGAAUGAUGAAGGUCUUAGGAUUGUAAAAUUCUUUCAGCGGGGACGAUAAUGACGGUACCCGCAGAAGAAGCUCCGGCUAACUUCGUG
This 433-nucleotide ribosomal RNA is filed under the name uncultured bacterium. RNAcentral describes it as "partial 16S ribosomal RNA". It matches the Rfam family "Bacterial small subunit ribosomal RNA", at positions 29 to 507 of the family's 1533-position model. The record is from RNAcentral.